AGCAGCGUAGCUCAGUGGAAAGAGCCCGGGCUUGGGAGUCAGAGGUCAUGGGUUCGAUUCCCGGCUCUGCCA
This 72-nucleotide transfer RNA is filed under the name Ornithorhynchus anatinus (platypus). It matches the Rfam family "tRNA". From Rfam's summary of the family: Transfer RNA (tRNA) molecules are approximately 80 nucleotides in length. Lineage: Eukaryota; Metazoa; Chordata; Mammalia; Monotremata; Ornithorhynchidae. The record is from Rfam by way of RNAcentral.